Long non-coding RNA from Bubalus bubalis (water buffalo), 1258 nucleotides. RefSeq lists it as uncharacterized. The record is from RefSeq and is a predicted model, not a curated record. The transcript has 2 exons. Lineage: Eukaryota; Metazoa; Chordata; Mammalia; Artiodactyla; Bovidae.
UCCAUGGGGUCGCAGAGUUGGACACGACUGAGCAACUGAACUGAACUGGAGCACAGGUGCCCUCUUCUCUGACCUCUACUCCAUGCCAGUAAAAGGAAAGGAAGGGGCGACCUGCAACUGAGUGAAACAAGUCACUGCCCCCCACUGAAUAAAAACUGCAAAUGGAAGUUAUCUUCUCAAAUAAUUACAAGAUGCACAAGACCUAUAGACACGUGUUUUACAAUUCUCACCCUCAUCUGUAUGAUUUAAACAAAUUUUAAAUGUACUAGAUUCUAAAAACACAACUCCUACAUCACAAUUAUCCAUAUCCAAACAGCUGGAGCCAGCUACCCACUCCCUCUACCUGCACUACCAGGUUAUUCCAUUUCAUUCACCAUAUCUGUCUCCCUAUUCUAUCCCUGUGUCUCUUUUUGCUCCUGUCUACCCUCCUGCUGUUUCUCCCCUCCUAUUUUCUUCCCUCACACCUGUCCUGCCCCACUCUUCAACUUACUCCCCUCCCCUCUUGCACUCUUUUUCCCCAACCUGACUGCCCUCAAUCUCCAUUAUUUCUGGUCAUUUCUUCCCCUAACUCUCCUACACCUGACACAGGAGGGAAGGGAACAGGGCACAACCCUUAAAAGAAUGACCUAGUCAUUAAACCUAUGACAAAAUCCAGUUAUAACUAGUUAGACCCAAGAUGGCGGAAGAUUUGACUGCCAACAAACCUUGAACCUCAUUCUAUGCUCGUCGUGAUAUAUUAGUUAAAUGACAUGCUCAUAGGUGCUAUGACAGUUCUGACGCCAACUGUCAAAGGCCAGAAAGUGCGGGGUGGCCCAAUUCCCAGAAGUCUCCAUCUCUCCCUGAAAUAGCUUAAAUAAUUACUCCACUCUCUAGACUGUGAAAUUACUCAGCCCCUAAAAACUAACCACCUUGUAUUUCAGGGUCGCUUUCACCUUCUGAGACUGACUGCAGUCUGCCUAUGGAACUUGCAUUAUCACAGGGCCUCUCAUCUUCUGAGAUGACCUACUUUCUAGCUAUGGAAUGUGUGCGGGCACGCGCAUUGGCUCAGUACUGUCCGACUCUUUUGCGACCCCCAUGGACUUGUAGGCAGCCAGGCUCCAUGGGACUAUCCGGGCAAGAAUACUGGAGUGGGUUGCCAUGCCUUCCUCUAGGGGAUCUUUCCGACCCAGGGACUGAAUCCACGUCUCCUAAGGAAGUGCCUCCUGGGAGGCCCUGUGGAAUGUGUUUCUCUCUCAAUAAAUCUACUACUUACCUAUCA